Long non-coding RNA from Pogoniulus pusillus (Red-fronted tinkerbird), 1080 nucleotides. RefSeq lists it as uncharacterized. The record is from RefSeq and is a predicted model, not a curated record. The transcript has 3 exons. Lineage: Eukaryota; Metazoa; Chordata; Aves; Piciformes; Lybiidae.
GUAAGUAUUGAGAAGAGUUCUUCAGGGAAGAAACUGUUGGUGGCUGAAAAUCUGAAUGUGAGCUGGCAAUGUAUGCUCACAGCCCAGAAGGCAAACCAUGUCCUGGACUGCAUCCAAAGAAGCAUGGCCAGAAGGUCGAGAGAGGUGACUGUGCAUUUCUACUCUGCUCUGCAUGUCAAGGCCCAGGAGGACAUGUAAUUAAUGAGAGGAGCAUCAAUCCCAUCCAGACCUGGAACUGCCCACACAUUGAUGGCCAGUUGAAAUAGCAGGGGAAAUCUAAUGUUCUGUGGAAGCUGAAACCAGAAUAUUUGGCUAUUUUAGAAGCUGAAAUACCAAAAAUAACAAAUGUGGAUCUUCACAUGGCGAGGGAAAGAAGAGGCUGUUACAGAAUGACAGACUGCUGACUCGGAGAUCUCCUUCUAACUAAUGAACAAUGGAAAAGCAACGACUGGUGAAAGCCUCAAAAGUCACUUUGAAGUCCUUGGCAAAGGUAAUGAUGGCUUGUAAAUGUGCAGGUUCUCUUUGAGAUGGACAAGCUCAUGGGCCUCUCUGCACUUAAUGCUCCUUUACCAUGUGCUUAGCUUCUAAAAUACAUCCAGACUGGCCUUCAGACAUUGAUGUUUAUUUCUUCACAAAAGGAAGAGCAAUUGUGAAAAUGUAUUGUUAGAUCUGAGGUGUAAGGACCUAAGUGGUUGUUUAAGUGGACGUUGAUGUAAAGCUUGGAGAGCUGGGGUCUGGCUAAGCAGAAAACAAAAUGCAUGUUCUAACUAACAUUUUCCAGCAAAGUUUCUCUGGAAAUCUGGAAGCUAUCUGGGUUUUUUUUUUUUUUGUAUUUAGGUUUUUAUUUUCCAUGUGGCAUAGCAUUUUGGUGAUUAUGUUGCCUGUAUUAAAUGAGAGGCAGAGUCAUGCUACAGGAUUAUGUCUAAGUAUCCUGCGUUGUAGCUUAAUGAUCUUCUGAAGGCAGAAUGAACAUAACCAAAGCAUUAAUAACUCAAAUACUUUAGUCUCAUGCUGAAUGAGUAGUUGGUACAUUAUGGAGCUGACUUGUGUUUCACAAGUGUUAUAUUCCUUUAUACUUCU